Molecule: ribosomal RNA, 492 nt
Filed under: uncultured bacterium
Lineage: Bacteria
Description: partial 16S ribosomal RNA
Rfam family: Bacterial small subunit ribosomal RNA
Source: RNAcentral
AGUGAACGCUGGCGGUAGGCCUAACACAUGCAAGUCGAACGGCAGCACAGUAAGAGCUUGCUCUUACGGGUGGCGAGUGGCGGACGGGUGAGGAAUACAUCGGAAUCUACUUUUUCGUGGGGGAUAACGUAGGGAAACUUACGCUAAUACCGCAUACGACCUACGGGUGAAAGCAGGGGAUCUUCGGACCUUGCGCGAUUGAAUGAGCCGAUGUCGGAUUAGCUAGUUGGCGGGGUAAAGGCCCACCAAGGCGACGAUCCGUAGCUGGUCUGAGAGGAUGAUCAGCCACACUGGAACUGAGACACGGUCCAGACUCCUACGGGAGGCAGCAGUGGGGAAUAUUGGACAAUGGGCGCAAGCCUGAUCCAGCCAUACCGCGUGGGUGAAGAAGGCCUUCGGGUUGUAAAGCCCUUUUGUUGGGAGAGAAAAGCAGCAGGUUAAGACCCCGCUGUUCUGACGGUACCCAAAGAAUAAGCACCGGCUAACUUCGUG